Molecule: long non-coding RNA, 3464 nt
Filed under: Homo sapiens (human)
Lineage: Eukaryota; Metazoa; Chordata; Mammalia; Primates; Hominidae
Description: non-protein coding lnc-CSPP1-1:9
Source: RNAcentral
CUCUGGUGGCACCGCGCCCAGCACUUCGGGCUCUUGGUGGCGGCCGAGCUGCGGGACCAGAGAUCCCCCCACUCGGCACCCCUGCUCCUGCCGAGUGAACAGGACUCCUGGCUACUCUGCACUGGCUUUCUAACUUUCUGAUGGGGGUGCAGUCCUUUGCAUUCCAGGGGUCACAGCAACACCCGCAUCGCCCGUUCUCAGCCGCAGGGUCUCCGCCUGCAUCACUCGACUCUAAAAUUUCCUUCCCUAGUGCACGGAACUGCUGUCCAGGACUCUGCUCUCCGACUACCUCAGGGAGGAUUCUGUUUUGGGAAAAGUAAGCCAAAACCUAUUGAUAAGGGUUCAAAAAUGUUUCACUUUUUUCUCUCUCUGUCGGAUAAAUCGGUCAACUCUAGAUUUCAGGUCCCUUCUGAAUUGACUCAGUUAAGGUGAAUGGUUGUGAAUGAGGUCCCUUAGAGUUCUGUGUUUCUGUGCCUUUAAUACUAAGAUUUAGUCCAGGACAUGUAAACCAGUUUAGAAUGGAAAAGCUUUAAGUACAAACAGAUUAACACACGUGACCAUGUGUUUGCUUUAGUCUGAGUGUAGAACUCAAAUUUCUGCAGUAUUUAAUUUCUACAGUUUCCUUCUGAGCAGAAAAAGAAUACCAUAAAAAUAUUUGCAAACAUUAUAUAUGGUGAUCUAGGGUCACGUCUCCAAGUUCUAAGCUUCUGUGGCUCCACGCACACAGGUUCCCUAAUGUUUACUAUGCAUCUGUCACUGUUCUGUUCUAUUAGAUUGCCUUAACUAUAGGCUUGUCCUAACGUAACCAUCCAAACCUAAGGAAGGAGAAACUUAAGUGACUCUGUGAACUUAGUGAAGUGACCAGAUUUAGGAAGGCUAAAACCCAGAGGAAAUAAAAUGGAAAACUUGAAGGUGACAAAUUAAAGUGGAAAAAUAGAUUAAUUUUUUUAAACUUUAUUGUCCUGAGAAACAAAUCUAUAAAUUCAUUAAUUUUAUUUUAGAGACUAUCUCUAGAUUCCUGGAAAUGAAGGAUUCAUUAUACUCUUAGAUCAGAUAUAAUACUGAUUUCUGUGUAUACGUUAAUAAACUUUUUUAGAACAAGUUCCAUUUCUUUUAUUUUUUUCUUCCCUUCUUUCACAGGUGUUGAUCCAUUUCUAAUUCAUCUUUGUUUCUUCAUAAUGGAGUGUUGUGCCAGAGAUGGCAUCUCACCAUGUUGAACUCGUGGCCUCAAGCGAUCCUCCUGCCUCAGCCUCCCAGUGCUGAGAUUACAGGCAUAAGCCACCAUGCCCAGUCUCUCUUUUCCCUUCUAUGGCCACAGCUGAAGAUGGCAGAACCACAAGUUAGGAGUCUUAGUUUCUGAAUUGGAACUCUUGGAGAAGAACCAUCUAGAAUAACUAUUUUGUACUUUACAUGAACGAAGCAGACUCUUCGGUUAUGUUUAGCUGUCAGCUUUAUCGUAAAACAUACUUGGGAUUCAUUGAUGAACAAGACAAGCUGGCACCUGUAGUCCCAGCACUUUGGGAGGCCAAGGCAGGAGAAUGGCUUGAGGCCGGGAUUUGCAGAUGAAACUGGGCAACGUAGCAAGACACUGUCUUUACAAAAAAUAAAGAAAAAUUAGCCAGGCACGGUGGCAUCCACCUGUAGUUGCAGCUGCUCAGGAGACUGAGGAGGAAGGAUCGCUUGAGCUCAGGAGUUCGAGGCUGCAGUGAACUAUGAUAUGAUAGUGCCACAGCAUUCAUAAUCAUCUCAUCUGCUUGCCUUGCUUGUUGAUUGGUUGCAUGUUUCUCUCAUAAGUGCAGGGACCUCAUAUCUCUGUCUAUUCACUUCUGUGUGCCCAUCAUCUAUUAUAUUGCUGGCAUAGAGAAGGCCUUUGCUAUAAACUUAUAGAAACUUGGAUAAAUGAAAGGCACCAGGCUAAGACAAGCAUGAUACCUGCCCUUUUGGACCUUACAGUAUAGAGUAGGGAAAAGAUAUUAAGUCAGUAGUGAAUAUACAAUUACAAAUCUGUUGAGUAUGAUUAAAGAAUAGAGUGCUGUGAGAGAAGGGAGAAGUAAAUUAAAUUGAGACCUGAAAGAAGAGUAGACAUUAGCCAAACUAAGUCAUGAAGAACUUUCCAGGCAAAGUCUCUUGGGGUAGGGGGAAGCUUGGCAAGUUUCAGGAAACAAAACAAGGCAGUGUGGCUGAAAGGAUCAAGGAGAAUGGUGCCAGUCAGGAUGAAGAGGGAGCUAGGAACCAGAUCAUUCAGACUCUCGUAGGCCAUGUUAGGGGGUUGCAAUUUCAUCGUAAUAACAAUGGAAAUUCAUUGAAAGGUUUUAAAAGUGGGGGAUAAAGUGAUCAAAUUGGUGAUUUUAAAAUAAUCCCUCUGUUACAUGGAGAAUGGAUUGGAGGGGGAGAAGUGAGGAUGUGGCAAAACAUUUUAAGAAAUUUAUUACAACAGCGCAGGAUGGCUUGGUCAGGUCCAGGGCCACCAAGCAAGGUUGUGGAGAUCGUGGCACAAGGGAGCAAGUGUGGCUGAAAUCCAGCCCCACUGUCUGCCCAAAAGAAGAGGCUUCUUUCACUAAUUUGCAUAAAGGUUAGCCCAGAAAUGACAGUGGUAGCAUGGAGAUGGAGCAAAGUAGACAGAUUUGGGAUAUACUUUGGUGGCAGAAUAAACCGGACUUAAUUAACUGGAGUGCAGGUUAGAGAGAGAAAGAGGUCACAAAUGAAUACCAGGUUUCUGCUGGGAACCAGUGAACAGUUGGAAAUGCCAUUUGUAGAGAUAGGCUAGAUGGAAGAUUUGAGGGUAAAGAGUGUAGUUGUCAGUUUCAGAAGAAUAAACUCCUCUGAGAUAUGACCUAACCCUCCCAGAAGGAAUGAUUUGCAUCUUCCUUUGGGAGGACAACUCAUCCUCUUCCCUUGCUGGGUUUACCCAAAAGGUGGUGGUGCUUGAGGGUGGAGGGGGGUAGGAGUAGUCUUACGAGAUGGGCACUCCUAUCCACUUGAAACUCAAGAUACUAACUCAGACCUGUAGCAAAAAUAGAGUAAGACUCUAGAAUAAAGCUGAUGCUCUUGGAUAUUUUCAAUCUUUUAUUGACAGGUACACAGGGAGUGGCAAAGGAGAUUUUUACAUGAAAUUAUGAGUACAGACCAGGCACUGUGGCUCAUUCCUGUAAACCCAGCACUUUGGGAGGCUGAGGCGGGUGGAUCACCUGAGGUCAGGAGUUCAGGACCAGCCUGGCCAACAUGGUGAAACCCCGUUUCUACUAAAAAUACAAAAUUAGGUGGGCGUGGUGGCGGGUGCCUGUAAUCCCAGAUACUCAGGAGGCUGAGAUAGGAGAAUCGCUUGAACCCAGGAGGCGGAGGUUGCAGUGAGCCAAGAUCAUGCUGCUGCACUCCAGCCGGAGCAACAGAGUGAGACUCGAUCUCAAUUAAAAAAAAAAAGAAAAGAAAUUAUGAGUACAUUCCCCUGUAUAUAUAUAUUUUUU